Molecule: ribosomal RNA, 232 nt
Filed under: Salmonella enterica
Lineage: Bacteria; Pseudomonadati; Pseudomonadota; Gammaproteobacteria; Enterobacterales; Enterobacteriaceae
Also listed under: 1 other name
Description: partial 23S ribosomal RNA
Rfam family: Bacterial large subunit ribosomal RNA
Source: RNAcentral
GGGUUGUGAGGUUAAGCGACUAAGCGUACACGGUGGAUGCCCUGGCAGUCAGAGGCGAUGAAGGACGUGCUAAUCUGCGAUAAGCGCCGGUAAGGUGAUAUGAACCGUUAUAACCGGCGAUUUCCGAAUGGGGAAACCCAGUGUGAUUCGUCACACUAUCAUUAACUGAAUCCAUAGGUUAAUGAGGCGAACCGGGGGAACUGAAACAUCUAAGUACCCCGAGGAAAAGAAA